RNAcentral lists this ribosomal RNA (497 nucleotides) under uncultured bacterium. RNAcentral describes it as "partial 16S ribosomal RNA". It matches the Rfam family "Bacterial small subunit ribosomal RNA", at positions 28 to 507 of the family's 1533-position model. The record is from RNAcentral.
GAUGAACGCUGGCGGCGUGCCUAAUACAUGCAAGUCGAGCGAACAGACGAUGAGCUUGCUCCUCUGACGUUAGCGGCGGACGGGUGGGUAACACGUGGAUAACCUACCUAUAAGACUGGGAUAACUUCGGGAAACCGGAGCUAAUACCGGAUAAUAUAUUGAACCGCAUGGUUCAAUAGUGAAAGACGGUUUUGCUGUCACUUAUAGAUGGAUCCGCGCCGCAUGAGCUAGUUGGUAAGGUAACGGCUUACCAAGGCGACGAUGCGUAGCCGACCUGAGAGGGGGAUCGGCCACACUGGAACUGAGACACGGUCCAGACUCCUACGGGAGGCAGCAGUAGGGAAUCUUACGCAAUGGGCGAAAGCAUGACGGAGCAACGCCACGUGAGUGAUGAAGGUCUUCGGAUCGUAAAACUCUGUUAUUAGGGAAGAACAAAUGUGUAAGUAACUAUGCACGUCUUGACGGUACCUAAUCAGAAAGCCACGGCUAACUACGUG